GUGCAUAUUUCCUUACUUUCUCUUUACAUCAAGACAAAAGAUAUUUCUGAAGUGUUAAAUAAACCUUUGCAGGGGGGCAGUAAAUUAGCAGCAUGGCUAACUUAGCCAUUGCUGUCAGUCACCUUCAGAUAAGA
RNAcentral lists this small nucleolar RNA (134 nucleotides) under Ovis aries (sheep). The record is from RNAcentral. Lineage: Eukaryota; Metazoa; Chordata; Mammalia; Artiodactyla; Bovidae.